This 253-nucleotide ribosomal RNA is filed under the name uncultured bacterium. Its description in RNAcentral is "partial 16S ribosomal RNA". It matches the Rfam family "Bacterial small subunit ribosomal RNA", at positions 524 to 776 of the family's 1533-position model. The record is from RNAcentral.
UACGUAGGGAGCAAGCGUUGUCCGGAAUUACUGGGCGUAAAGCGUGCGUAGGUGGUCUGUUAAGUCUGAUGUGAAAGCCCUGGGCUCAACCUGGGAAUGGCAUUGGAUACUGGCAGGCUAGAGUGCGGUAGAGGAUGGCGGAAUUCCCGGUGUAGCAGUGAAAUGCGUAGAGAUCGGGAGGAACAUCUGUGGCGAAGGCGGCCAUCUGGACCAGCACUGACACUGAGGCACGAAAGCGUGGGGAGCAAACAGG